AAGUAGCGUGAAGGAUGACUGCCUAUGGGUUGUAAACUUCUUUUAUACGGGAAUAAGUGAGGCACGUGUGCCUUUUUGUAUGUACCGCAUGAAUAAGGAUCGGCUAACUCCGUGCCAGCAGCCGCGGUAAUACGGAGGAUCCGAGCGUUAUCCGGAUUUAUUGGGUUUAAAGGGAGCGUAGGCGGACGCUUAAGUCAGUUGUGAAAGUUUGCGGCUCAACCGUAAAAUUGCAGUUGAUACUGGGUGUCUUGAGUACAGUAGAGGCAGGCGGAAUUCGUGGUGUAGCGGUGAAAUGCUUAGAUAUCACGAAGAACUCCGAUUGCGAAGGCAGCCUGCUGGACUGUAACUGACGCUGAUGC
RNAcentral lists this ribosomal RNA (359 nucleotides) under uncultured bacterium. RNAcentral describes it as "bacterial SSU rRNA". It matches the Rfam family "Bacterial small subunit ribosomal RNA", at positions 394 to 752 of the family's 1533-position model. The record is from RNAcentral.